This 626-nucleotide long non-coding RNA is filed under the name Gallus gallus (chicken). RNAcentral's name for it is "long non-coding RNA NONGGAT004703". Lineage: Eukaryota; Metazoa; Chordata; Aves; Galliformes; Phasianidae. The record is from RNAcentral.
GAGCUAUUAAGUAGGUCACGAGAGCUGGUCCCCAUCCAGCAGUUUGUCUAAUUGCCUUUUUAUAGUCGCACCGUGCCACUCUUCAUUAUGCUGUCAGUGCUGCGGGAGGACGGGGCGGGGAGUGCCCGGAGCUGGGGACGAUGGCUGCGGCUCCGUCUGAAACGAUUUGCGGCUCAAACGCCCCCGCGAGACCCGCUAACCUUUGGGUAAGGUUUGGCUUCGCGAUCUUGCUUGGGUUCAAUAGGAAUUAGGGGGAGCACAGGAGGGACGCGGCUGCAGCCCUACACCCCCCAUCCCUGCAUCCUCCAUCCCCGCACACCCCAUCCCCGCAUCCUUCCAUCCCCCCAUCCCCGCAUCUCCCCAUCCCACGUACCCCAUUCCUCCCAGUCCCGCUCCCGGCGGAGCAGCGCGCUGCGAGCAGCAGAGGUGAAUGCCCCGAUCCUCCUCGCCAUCUCUCCGUACCUCUCUUUUUCUUCUCUUCCUCUGCCUCUCUCCUCCUUUUCCUUCCUUUUUCUCUUUUUAUUUCCCCUCCUUUCGCUGCGUUCUAUCCCCAUUUUCAGCCGCCGGCAGAAGUUCGGGGCGAUUUUUAUUUCCAGGCGCCGCCGAACAAAAUCUCCUUCUCCCAC